RNAcentral lists this ribosomal RNA (429 nucleotides) under Fusobacteriota bacterium. RNAcentral describes it as "Fusobacteria bacterium partial 16S ribosomal RNA". It matches the Rfam family "Bacterial small subunit ribosomal RNA", at positions 355 to 776 of the family's 1533-position model. Lineage: Bacteria; Fusobacteriati; Fusobacteriota. The record is from RNAcentral.
UGGGGAAUAUUGCGCAAUGGGCGAAAGCCUGACGCAGCGACGCCGCGUGAGGGAUGAAGGUUUUCGGAUCGUAAACCUCUGUCAGAAGGGAAGAAACCGCACUGUGCUAAUCAGCAGUGCCUUGACGGUACUUUCAAAGGAAGCACCGGCUAACUCCGUGCCAGCAGCCGCGGUAAUACGGAGGGUGCAAGCGUUAAUCGGAAUUACUGGGCGUAAAGCGCACGUAGGCUGCUUUGUAAGUCAGGGGUGAAAUCCCACGGCUCAACCGUGGAACUGCCUUUGAUACUGCUUAGCUUGAAUCCGGGAGAGGGUGGCGGAAUUCCAGGUGUAGGAGUGAAAUCCGUAGAUAUCUGGAGGAACAUCAGUGGCGAAGGCGGCCACCUGGACCGGUAUUGACGCUGAGGUGCGAAAGCGUGGGGAGCAAACAGG